Molecule: ribosomal RNA, 229 nt
Filed under: uncultured bacterium
Lineage: Bacteria
Description: partial 16S ribosomal RNA
Rfam family: Bacterial small subunit ribosomal RNA
Source: RNAcentral
UGAGCAAUCUGCCCUUCUCAUCGGAAUAAGCGUUGGAAACGACGUCUAAUGCCGAAUACGACCUCCUUUCGCAUGAUCGGAGGUGGAAAGCUCCGGCGGAGAAGGAUGAGCUCGCGGCCUAUCAGCUAGUUGGUGUGGGUAAUGGCCCACCAAGGCGAUGACGGGUAGCCGGCCUGAGAGGGUGACCGGCCACGCUGGGACUGAGACACGGCCCAGACUCCGUAGGAGG